Molecule: ribosomal RNA, 293 nt
Filed under: uncultured bacterium
Lineage: Bacteria
Description: partial 16S ribosomal RNA
Rfam family: Bacterial small subunit ribosomal RNA
Source: RNAcentral
GGAUUAGAUACCCUGGUAGUCCACGCUGUAAACGAUGGUCACUCGAUAUAGGUUUCUUCGGAAGCCUGUGUCCUAGCGAAAGCAUUAAGUGACCCACCUGGGGAGUACGUUCGCAAGAAUGAAACUUAAAGGAAUUGACGGGGGCCCGCACAAGCGGUGGAGUAUGUGGUUUAAUUCGAUCAACGCGAAGAACCUUACCUAGGCUUGACAUCCUGCGAACCUUUUUUAAACGAAAGGGUGCCCUUCGGGGAAUGCAGUGACAGGUGCCGCAUGGCUGUCGUCAGCUCGUGUCG